GGAAAUGUAGCUCAGUGGUAGUGCAUCUGCCUCACUUGCAGAAGACCCUCCCCUGCCCCAGUUCAAUCCCCAGCAUCUCCA
Molecule: non-coding RNA, 81 nt
Organism: Podarcis lilfordi (Lilford's wall lizard)
Lineage: Eukaryota; Metazoa; Chordata; Lepidosauria; Squamata; Lacertidae
Source: the annotation of a GenBank genome assembly